Long non-coding RNA from Triticum dicoccoides, 423 nucleotides. RefSeq lists it as uncharacterized. The record is from RefSeq and is a predicted model, not a curated record. NCBI's taxonomy places the organism in Eukaryota, Viridiplantae, Streptophyta, Magnoliopsida, Poales, Poaceae. The transcript has 3 exons.
ACGGCGACUGCGACCGGGGGCAUCAUCCUCCCCCUUCCCGGAUCUCGUCUCUGCCUCAAAGCUUCAGUCACUUCCGGCGAAGACGACGGCCAGAGGUCAUCCUCCUCUUUCUCACCAAGAUAGACGGACCUCCUCUCCUGUCUGAGAUUUGUACCCAAGUGAGCAGCUGUACUGAAGAGCAUCGAAUGCUUUGAAGUGCUCUAUCUAUCCUGACAUCACAAGUGCUCUGACAUUAGAAGUUGGCUUUAUCCGAAGACUUUGUGUUCAAUUGCUUGGUGCCUUUUGAUUCGUCGAUCAUUGAGAAGUUUUCACUCGGAGCAAGAAAGGUAUGUGACGCAGUCAUCCCUUUGACAUGGCCACUGAGCAAGCUUAAAUUAUGCAAAACUACUGCUCUUGUGAUGUUGUUUUUCUCUGCCUAGUAUU